UACGUAGGGGCCUAGCGUUGUCCGGAAUUAUUGGGCGUAAAGAGCUCGUAGGCGGCUUGGUAAGUCGGAUGUGAAACCUCCAGGCUCAACCUGGAGUCGCCAUCCGAUACUGCCAUGGCUAGAGUCCGGUAGGGGCCCACGGAAUUCCUGGUGUAGCGGUGAAAUGCGCAGAUAUCAGGAGGAACACCGAUGGCGAAGGCAGUGGGCUGGGCCGGCACUGACGCUGAGGAGCGAAAGCGUGGGGAGCGAACAGG
Molecule: ribosomal RNA, 254 nt
Filed under: uncultured bacterium
Lineage: Bacteria
Description: partial 16S ribosomal RNA
Rfam family: Bacterial small subunit ribosomal RNA
Source: RNAcentral